CCCUUAGAUGUUCUGGGCCGCACGCGCGCUACACUGAUGCAUUCAACGAGCCUAGCCUUGACCGAGAGGUCCGGGUAAUCUUUGAAACUGCAUCGUGAUGGGGCUAGAUUAUUGCAAUUAUUAAUCUUCAACGAGGAAUGCCUAGUAAGCGUGAUUCAUCAAAUCGCGUUGAUUACGUCCCUGCCCUUUGUACACACCGCCCGUCGCUCCUACCGAUUGAGUGUGUUGGUGAGGAGUUUGGAUUGGCCUCGGAAGGUGGUUCGCCACCGUCCGUAGCUGAGAAGUUCUCCAAACCGCCCCACUUAGAGGAAGGAGAAGUCGUAACA
RNAcentral lists this ribosomal RNA (326 nucleotides) under uncultured eukaryote. Its description in RNAcentral is "partial 18S ribosomal RNA". It matches the Rfam family "Eukaryotic small subunit ribosomal RNA", at positions 1470 to 1796 of the family's 1831-position model. The record is from RNAcentral.